Long non-coding RNA from Epinephelus fuscoguttatus (brown-marbled grouper), 266 nucleotides. RefSeq lists it as uncharacterized. The record is from RefSeq and is a predicted model, not a curated record. The transcript is spliced from 3 exons. NCBI's taxonomy places the organism in Eukaryota, Metazoa, Chordata, Actinopteri, Perciformes, Serranidae.
CAGGAAUGCCUUCUUUUGGCAAAUGUGAGUGCAACAUCAUCAAGGGUAUUCUGUACUGUGCCACAGAUUCACUUCUGUGAUGCACCAUUAGGAAGUGGAUGGGUAUAGAACACUUAUGACGUCGUCUCUUGAGAGCGAUUGGGACAUUUGUCUAAUUAGUGGCUGUUACUGACGGAAGUCUAGGUGGCCUGGAGGGAGUGAUAAGAAAGCCACUAGGAGUGAAGCGUUGCUCCUCAUGUGCCAAGCGGAGCAACGAUGGAAUGGCC